AUUAAUGCUUAAACGCUGACACACACACACACACACACACACAGCAGUGAUAGUAGGUAGUAGAUAGUAGGUGCACUGUUCAGACAGUCAGGAGCUGGUACACAUCCGGCACCGUUUUAUUCUCUUUACCAAACAACAACAACAACAAAACAACACAUGGGGUACCCACAAACCCAAAGAAAACGCGCGCGCGACCCCACUGUAGUACAAGACUACAGGUUACCAUGGUUACCGCAGUGAAUAAAAGAGUUAAUCAUCGUUGGAGUGGUUGGAUGAAUAGAUGAGCUUGUACCUGUUUUUAAGCUCCCGUAUGUGACCACAGAGCGGCAGCAGAGCUCCAUCAUGCGCCGUGAUGCUCUAGAACAUGGGAUAUGAAAAUGAAGAAUAUGAAAAUGGAUUAAAAAUGACAAAUUCAAGGACAAUAUUAAUACAGAAGUGCAGACAAAACAGAAACAGAAAUACGCCGUCUUGUGCAUGCAGUGUUUUUCUUUUCACAUCCUUUAUCAUGACAGAGAGAGAAGAUCACAGAUCAGUGUUCACACUGACAUGCUGUGUUAAAAACCCUGUGGUUUCGUGGAUCACUCGUGUAUGUGGCAUCAUGAAUUAAACACCGAGCUGAAUGAAAGAGCGUGUCCUUGCAGAAAAGGAAGUGCUGUGUAUGUGAAUGAGAUUAAACCAUGGAUGAUG
This is a long non-coding RNA of Pangasianodon hypophthalmus (striped catfish), 687 nucleotides long. RefSeq lists it as uncharacterized. Lineage: Eukaryota; Metazoa; Chordata; Actinopteri; Siluriformes; Pangasiidae. The transcript is spliced from 2 exons. The record is from RefSeq and is a predicted model, not a curated record.